UGACCUCAAAAUAACAAGGGUCAAGGUCGGCCAGUGAGACGAUGGGGGAUAAAGCUUCAUCGUCGAGAGGGAAACAAUCCGGAUCACCAGCUAAGGCCCCUAAAUGACCGCUCAGUGAUAAAUGAGGUAGGGGUGUAGAGACAACCAGGAGGUUUGCCUAGAAGCAGCCACCCUUGAAAGAGUGCGUAAUAGCUCACUGAUCGAGUGCUCUUGCGCCGAAGAUGAACGGGGCUAAGCGAUCAGCCGAAGCUGUGGGAUGUCAAAUUGAAUUGGUAGGGGAGCGUUUCGCCUUAGAGGGAAGGACCUGCGCAAGCAGUGCUGGACGAAGCGGAAGCG
This 336-nucleotide non-coding RNA is filed under the name Phaseolus vulgaris (common bean). Its description in RNAcentral is "Bacterial large subunit ribosomal RNA". It matches the Rfam family "Bacterial large subunit ribosomal RNA", at positions 950 to 1290 of the family's 2925-position model. The record is from Rfam by way of RNAcentral. Lineage: Eukaryota; Viridiplantae; Streptophyta; Magnoliopsida; Fabales; Fabaceae.